GCCAGUCAUGGCAUAUGGGUGUGACCUAGCCGUCGCUCCUCUCCCACUCGCGCGUACCCCUCUCCUCUUCCCUCCGCCUCGCCUCUCUCCCCCCGUUCAAAACCUAGGCCCGCCCUCGCCGGCUGCCGCCGCCGCCGCUCGGCCAGGCCAUCCUCCCGCUGUGAAGGAAGCGGCCAGAGAGGGAGGGCAUCGCCGGGUGUGCGCGCCAGCCCCUCUCCACUGCUGAUCCCCUUUUUUGCAGCUCAGUAUGGUAGGGAACGGAGAGUACUGGGUGUGACAUCCAGCCGCAGGAGCCUAUGUGAUGUGUACCUGUGUUGGUGCCUUGCCUUUACAGAGAUCCAUUAUGUCUUCCUCUUGAUAAGCACGACAAGCUUUUACUUGUACCAUGAAACAUGGAGCGGCUCGACGCGCCGGCCACGUGCGCCGACGAGCCGGCUGCUAGCAAGGUGAGCCCCCUUUGCUUGGAUCUGUCUUUGAUAUAUGCCAUGUGAUUUGUAGUUGAAUAAUCCUUUUAGCCAUGUCGAUGCUUGCUAUGUAGUCCACUGUGCAUCAAAUUAUUUAGAUCCAAUGAAUAGCCGUUUUUACCCUGUCCAUGCUUCCAAAUCGAGGGUUGAGGGGCGCACCGGAUCCAGGCGCAAUGGCGCGUUGGUGAGCACGGAGGCGGCCAUGGCCGAGCUCGAGGGUCUCGUUCCGUGAUGGCUCCUACGUACGCGUGCCUGGGUUAUCAAGAGCCACCGUUUGUACCGUUCGUCGAGGCUUCGACCAUCUUGCUCGUUGCUACUGCGUCGAGAGGUUGGAAGGCUUCUGGUUGGUGAGCUCGUCUUUUUCCUUCCUAUCUAGCAGACAAAUGUAUGUGAUGCUUCAGUGGUUUCUUAGAUGUGUUGGCUGCUCAGAUCUGGCUAAUGUUUUUUUGGAUGCAUUAGGUUCUCCUCGCUGGAUAUGGUAGGGUUUUUAUGGAUGGAUUAGGGGAUCUACUUGGAUCCUUGGUAUUUUGUUGCCGUGUGGCCUAGAUUCCUGCGAGUUUUUUGUGCCUUUCUGAAUUUGUCAGCUGCUUAUGGGUUUGGCGUGGACUGCUACCUUUCUGAAUUUGUCAGCUGCUUAUGGGUUUGGCGUGGACUGCUGUUGUUGGCUUGGUUUAAAAUAGUCACGAGCCGACGACCGCAUCUCACCUUGCUCGACGUCCACCGCAGACGACCGGUAGCCGUUGACCUACCUACUGCCUACCCGUCCGCCUCAAGUGCAAGGUAUGUUCUUGCUCCUGCAUUCAGUGGAUUUGCUCAUGUAUUCAGCAGCGUAGUAUUGUAUUGUGAUAAAUUUGUAUUUACAAUGAUUUUGCUGUUGUUGUAUAUAGCCUAUUCAAUGGACUUGCUGCUGUUGUAGUAGGGUAUCCAAUGAUUUUGUAAUGGAUUUGCUGUUGUUACCUCUGAAAACAGUACAGUUUGCUGCUGUUUAAGUAUGACUAUCAAAAUAUUAGUGUCAUGUGGCUGCGUUUCUUGCACCAGUGCUGCAUCCGGGGCGUUACACUUAACAGCCGUCGAGGAUCAUUGUGUGCUGGCUUUGUCCAUAUUCUCAUGGUA
Triticum urartu is the source of this 1577-nucleotide long non-coding RNA. RefSeq lists it as uncharacterized. The record is from RefSeq and is a predicted model, not a curated record. NCBI's taxonomy places the organism in Eukaryota, Viridiplantae, Streptophyta, Magnoliopsida, Poales, Poaceae.